Molecule: ribosomal RNA, 494 nt
Filed under: uncultured bacterium
Lineage: Bacteria
Description: partial 16S ribosomal RNA
Rfam family: Bacterial small subunit ribosomal RNA
Source: RNAcentral
GACGAACGCUGGCGGCGUGCUUAACACAUGCAAGUCGAACGGAAAGGCCUGCUUUCCCUUGUGGAUUGCGGGUGCUCGAGUGGCGAACGGGUGAGUAACACGUGAGUGAUCUGCCCCCAACUUGGGUAUAAGCCUGGGAAACUGGGUCUAAUUCCCGAUAGGACUGCAGGGUGGUGCCUGUGGUGGAAAACGAUUUUCUAGUGGUUGGGGAUGAGCUCGCGGCCUAUCAGCUUGUUGGUGGGGUAAUGGCCUACCAAGGCGGCGACGGGUAGCCGGCCUGAGAGGGUGGACGGCCGCAUUGGGACUGAGAUACGGCCCAGACUCCUACGGGAGGCAGCAGUGGGGAAUAUUGCACAAUGGGCGGAAGCCUGGUGCAGCGACGCCGCGUGGGGGAUGACGGCCUUCGGGUUGUAAACUCCUUUCGACCGCGAGGAAGCCACCUGGUUGGAAGGGUGGUGACGGUAGUGGUAGAAGAAGCACCGGCUAACUACGUG